CGCGAGCAUUCCCAGCCACAG
This 21-nucleotide unclassified non-coding RNA is filed under the name Mus musculus (house mouse). Its description in RNAcentral is "oocyte_clustered_small_RNA1114". Lineage: Eukaryota; Metazoa; Chordata; Mammalia; Rodentia; Muridae. The record is from RNAcentral.